CCUACGGGGGGCUGCAGUGAGGAAUAUUGGUCAAUGGUCGCGAGACUGAACCAGCCAAGCCGCGUGAGGGAGGACGGUACAGAGUAUCGUAAACCUCUUUUGUCAGGGAACAAAGGCGGGGACGUGUCCCCGGAUGCGUGUACCUGAAGAAAAAGCAUCGGCUAACUCCGUUCCAGCAGCCGCGGUAAUACGGAGGAUGCGAGCGUUAUCCGGAUUUAUUGGGUUUAAAGGGUGCGCAGGCGGUCUGUUAAGUCAGCGGUAAAAGCCCGGGGCUCAACCCCGGCCCGCCGUUGAAACUGGCAGUCUCGAGUUGGAGAGAAGUAUGCGGAAUGCGCGGUGUAGCGUUGAAAUGCAUAGAUAUCGCGCAGAACUCCGAUUGCGAAGGCAGCAUGCCGGCUCCACACUGACGCUGAGGCACGAAAGCGUGGGUAUCGAACAGGAUUAGAUACCCGAGUAGUC
This 459-nucleotide ribosomal RNA is filed under the name uncultured bacterium. Its description in RNAcentral is "partial 16S ribosomal RNA". It matches the Rfam family "Bacterial small subunit ribosomal RNA", at positions 338 to 795 of the family's 1533-position model. The record is from RNAcentral.